RNAcentral lists this ribosomal RNA (322 nucleotides) under uncultured eukaryote. RNAcentral describes it as "partial 18S ribosomal RNA". It matches the Rfam family "Eukaryotic small subunit ribosomal RNA", at positions 1470 to 1796 of the family's 1831-position model. The record is from RNAcentral.
CCCUUAGAUGUUCUGGGCAGCACGCGCGCUACAAUGGUCUUCGCAAACGGAUGCAUUCUCGAAGGAGAAUGCCAAUCUUGGAAUCUAUGCCUUGGUCGGGACAGUUGCUUGCAAUUUUUCGACUCGAACCAGGAAUUCCUUGUAAUCGUGAUUCAUCACAUCACGAUGAUUACGUCCCUGCCCUUUGUACACACCGCCCGUCGUUCCUACCGAUUGAACGAUCCGGUGAAAUCUCAGGACUGAGAUUGAUUAACGGUUCGCCGUUACCAGUUUCGGGAAUUUGCUUGAACCUUAUCGUUUAGAGGAAGGAGAAGUCGUAACA